This 1352-nucleotide long non-coding RNA is filed under the name Homo sapiens (human). RNAcentral describes it as "HSALNT0139302". The record is from RNAcentral. Lineage: Eukaryota; Metazoa; Chordata; Mammalia; Primates; Hominidae.
AGCCCUGGCUUGGGGAACCCCAAGGUGUGGGCUCCCAGAAGGGCUCAACUCUUCUCGUUGCCUGCAAUGUGGUGACCGGCGGGGCGGGGAGGGGGGUUGGGGGGGGGACAUUGUUGGGGGGUUGUUUCAGCCCGUUUGUGUUACAGCUCUUUCAGUCCCACCACCCCACUCCAGCCCAUGGCUCCUCAGCUGGCCUGGCUCUGCUGCUGCCUCCUGUCAUGUGGGGCAGCUGUCUGGUGCCGGUGAAAGGUGGGAAGCUAUUAGUAUCACUCUAAAAAUAGUCAUUUCACCCAUAGAAAUGGAUAAGAUCAUUAAGGGGAUCAUGUAGAAGAUAACAACAGAUAGACAAUAGCAUUUAGGAGCUGGAAGAAUUCUAAUACUAAAAAAUAGUCAAAAUGGAAAAUAAGAACAGAGAAUCAAUUCUAGAAACCAAGGAGAAACUUUAAAGCAUGCUGGAGAGUGGUAAAGUGAAAGAUCACGUCCAUUUACAAAUAUUCAAACAAAACUGUAUUUGGCUUUUUCUAUAUGAUAGAAGAACCACAAAAUUAAUAAAAUAAACUACCAACCAACCUCAGUAACAUCAAAAUUACAUGAGAGCUGGCAAGAAUUUUAGUUGCCAAAUAGCAUUUAUUUGAGUACAAAAUCCUGGCAGGCAAAAGCACUUGCAGACCCGACUCUCUGAGAACUUACAAACAAAAAGUGAAAAGCUCUUAGUUCAUUUUGAGUCAGAACAAUAAGGAAAUUAUGAAAUCUAAGAUGUGCAGGUUUACUUAAAAGUGAUAAUGGUUUAUAUUAACUGUGGCCCACACAGGGUCUCUCUAAUCUAAUGAAAACAGGACAGUCACUGAAAAUAAGGACUAAUCAAUGGCCAAAUGUUUCUUCACUAUGGGCAAAAAUGUGAUUUCUUCAUCUGGGCUUUAAGAGCUAUAAAUAAAACACAUGGCCGGGUGCAUGCCUAUAGUCCUAGCUAUUUGGGAAGCUAAGGCAGUAGGAUUCCUUGACCCCAGGAGUUGGAGGUCAGCCAACUCUAAACAAACACAAACAUCAUUCUGACAAAUGACCUUAAUGUAGGAUCUCUUUGGACACAUCUUCAGCAAGCAGUCAUUUAAUAAAUGCCUUCUGAUAGGCAGAAUGUAGCUGCUCAUGGCUCUUUAAGUAUCAUAUCCAGAAUAUGAAGGGUUUGGAGAGAAGUUGCAUAAUGGACUUGCCCCUUUCCUCAAUGGGCAGGUAAUGUAUACAAAAGAACCCAUACCCAAAUUAUAGCAUUUUUAUUUUCCAAUACUAUACAAAAAAUAGACUGUGCAUAUCUUAACAGAUCCAGAUCCAAAUUAAAUACUUUUUUUCUAUUUCAA